Long non-coding RNA from Talpa occidentalis (Iberian mole), 757 nucleotides. RefSeq lists it as uncharacterized. The record is from RefSeq and is a predicted model, not a curated record. Lineage: Eukaryota; Metazoa; Chordata; Mammalia; Eulipotyphla; Talpidae. The transcript is spliced from 5 exons.
CAAAAAACAUCAGGAGGUCUUUUCCAUUUCCUCAGUGUCCUUCACAGUAAUGUCAUGAGGCAGUGAAGGAAGAAGGACCCUUCCUGACAGUGUGACCGCGAGCAGCACCCCCUCACCUCAGGCCUGGCUGUGCGCUGAACUAGACGAGGUCACCAGGUCAAAGGCUCUCACUAGAUCCCCUGGGGGGGACACUUCUGAAGUGUCAGCUGGAAGGAUGCUGAAGCCCGGAACUGUGUCUUUGAUUGGGAUCAAAAAUACAACAUCACUUUACUCCUACAGAUGUGUGGUAACUAUAAUUACAAUCAUCUCGCAUCAUUCAUAUCCUGUCUUUUCUCUGAAGUUAUACUGUGAACACUCCACUCUGUUACCAGGAGUCCUUGAAGAGUAACAUUUUCAGUAAGGACAGAAUAUCCUACCAAAAGUCUUGAGGUGGGAAGCCCAGGAAAGGCCUCUGCUCCAAGUGCCAUUGCGUGAGACUACAUGCCCAAGAUCUCUUCACCGUGCAACACAACUGCUGGAGCGCCAGCCAUUACACCCAUAUUCCAGCCAACAAGAAGGAGUAAGCUCCACAGAAAGGCACAUCCCUCUGUUUAUGCUCCCUUCUCUGAUGUUGCACAGCCCUUUUCAUUCCAGAAUGUAGCCACAAAGGCACCUAACCAUAGGAAAGACUGGGAAACACAGCUCCUAUUUUGGGGAGUCAAUGCUGAGCUAAAAUCAGGAGUUUGUAAUAAAGGAGGAAAGGGAGAUCAGAUAGCAA